CGGGGGGAGCAAGCGUUGUUCGGAUUUACUGGGCGUAAAGGGCGCGUAGGCGGCCACCGCAAGUCGACUGUGAAAUCUCCGGGCUUAACUCGGAAAGGUCAGCCGAUACUGCGGGGCUAGAGUGCAGAAGGGGCAACUGGAAUUCUCGGUGUAACGGUGAAAUGCGUAGAUAUCGAGAGGAACACCUGCGGCGAAGGCGGGUUGCUGGGCUGACACUGACGCUGAUGUGCGAAAGCUAGGGGAGCGAACGGGAUUAGAUACCCCGGUAGUCCUAGCCUUAAACGAUGAAUGCUUGGUGUCUGGGGUUCUAUAGUCCCCGGGUGCCGUCGCUAACGCUUUAAGCAUUCCGCCUGGGGAGUACGGUCGCAAGACUG
RNAcentral lists this ribosomal RNA (374 nucleotides) under uncultured organism. RNAcentral describes it as "bacterial SSU rRNA". It matches the Rfam family "Bacterial small subunit ribosomal RNA", at positions 526 to 896 of the family's 1533-position model. The record is from RNAcentral.